Molecule: ribosomal RNA, 495 nt
Filed under: uncultured bacterium
Lineage: Bacteria
Description: partial 16S ribosomal RNA
Rfam family: Bacterial small subunit ribosomal RNA
Source: RNAcentral
GACGAACGCUGGCGGCGUGCCUAAUACAUGCAAGUAGAACGCUGAAGGAGGAGCUUGCUUCUCUGGAUGAGUUGCGAACGGGUGAGUAACGCGUAAGUAACCUGCCUGGUAGCGGGGGAUAACUAUUGGAAACGAUAGCUAAUACCGCAUAAUAGCAGUUAUUGCAUGAUAACUGUUUGAAAGGUGCAAUUGCACCACUACCAGAUGGACCUGCGUUGUAUUAGCUAGUUGGUGGGGUAACGGCUCACCAAGGCGACUAUACAUAGCCGACCUGCGAGGGAGAUCGGCCAAACUGGGACCGGGACACGGCCCAGACUCCUACGGGAAGCAGCAGUAGGGAAUCUUCGGCAAUGGACGGAAGUCUGACCGAGCAACGCCGCGUGGGUGAAGAAGGUUUUCGGAUCGUAAAGCUCUGUUGUAAGAGAAGAACGAGUGUGAGAGUGGAAAGUUCACACUGUGACGGUAUCUUACCAGAAAGGGACGGCUAACUACGUG